GGGAAAUGGACCUGAGAACUGCAGGGAAAGGAGGAGGCCUAGGUUUGCUGUGCCAGAAAAAAAUGGGCAAUAAAUGAAUUAACCUUCAGAAGAGGCGCAGAAACCCAGGCAUCCAGACAAAGAGGGAAUUGAUUGUCGGGAGGUAUCUUGUGCCUGUUUCCUAAGUUUACAGUUUUGUGGUGAGCCAGCCCUCCUCGACUGCUUGUCACAUGCAGACUCGGCUUUCCUGGAAUGUCAGACAGCAGCACUCGCACCUCCGCAAUGUUGGGGGACAUCACCCAAGAAAUCAGUUGUCUUGAACAGUGCAAGUCUGACAACAAAUACCCGGAGUUCAGAGGAACACAUACAAGUUCAUUAAAUAAGCAGAAAAAAAGUGUGUGAUGAAAAGG
Long non-coding RNA from Gallus gallus (chicken), 389 nucleotides. RefSeq lists it as uncharacterized. The transcript is spliced from 3 exons. NCBI's taxonomy places the organism in Eukaryota, Metazoa, Chordata, Aves, Galliformes, Phasianidae. The record is from RefSeq and is a predicted model, not a curated record.